RNAcentral lists this ribosomal RNA (277 nucleotides) under uncultured bacterium. RNAcentral's name for it is "partial 16S ribosomal RNA". It matches the Rfam family "Bacterial small subunit ribosomal RNA", at positions 338 to 612 of the family's 1533-position model. The record is from RNAcentral.
CCUACGGGGGGCAGCAGUGAGGAAUAUUGGUCAAUGGGAGGAAUCCUGAACCAGCCAUGCCGCGUGCAGGACGACGGCUCUACGAGUUGUAAACUGCUUUUGUACCGGGGUAAAAUGCCUUACGAGUAGGGUUUUGAAAGUACGGUACGAAUAAGGAUCGGCUAACUCCGUGCCAGCAGCCGCGGUAAUACGGAGGAUCCGAGCGUUAUCCGGAUUCAUUGGGGUUAAAGGGUGCGUAGGCGGCGCUUCAGGUCAGCGGUGAAAUACCGGGGCUCAA